RNAcentral lists this ribosomal RNA (504 nucleotides) under uncultured bacterium. Its description in RNAcentral is "bacterial SSU rRNA". It matches the Rfam family "Bacterial small subunit ribosomal RNA", at positions 15 to 518 of the family's 1533-position model. The record is from RNAcentral.
GAUCAUGGCUCAGGAUGAACGCUAGCUACAGGCUUAACACAUGCAAGUCGAGGGGUAGCAGGGUAGCAAUACCGCUGACGACCGGCGCACGGGUGAGUAACACGUAUCCAACUUCCCAUAACUCAGGGAUAGCCUUUCGAAAGAAAGAUUAAUACCUGAUAGUACUUUUUCAAGGCAUCUUGAGAAGUUAAAGAUUUAUGGUUAUGGAUGGGGAUGCGUUCCAUUAGAUAGUUGGUGAGGUAACGGCUCACCAAGUCUUCGAUGGAUAGGGGUUCUGAGAGGAAGGUCCCCCACAUUGGUACUGAGACACGGACCAAACUCCUACGGGAGGCAGCAGUGAGGAAUAUUGGUCAAUGGGCGAGAGCCUGAACCAGCCAAGUAGCGUGAAGGAAUGAAGGUCCUAUGGAUUGUAAACUUCUUUUAUAGUAGAAUAAAGUGAUCCACGUGUGGAUUUUUGUAUGUAUACUAUGAAUAAGGAUCGGCUAACUCCGUGCCAGCCGCCGC